ACACUUCCUCAUAACACGGAAAUGUCAAACUGGAACUUCGUUUGAAACUCCAUUUGUUCUUUUAGGAGUGUGAUGUUGAAUGUUGUAUCGGGAUCACGGUCCUGUGUCGUGCUCACACAAGUUAUCGACGCUUUAAAAUUAAGGUGUAGUGUCUUUAAAGCUUGUAAUGUUCGUGAACUUUGCUUUGUUGCUAGCUAGUUGCGGAUUAAGGCCAGAUAUGUAGUGUAGCCAGGUAGCUAUAUGCUUUCAGACGGGAGUUUGGUUAGAAAACAGUUAAAGAUCGUUCAUAAUAAGAAUAAUAACAACAUCCAUCCAUCAAUAUGAAGCUAAGUUCUUCAGUCUUCGCUACUUUGUGUCUCAUUAUUGAGUUACUCGGCAUUGCCCUUUUCUUGAGAGGCUUUUUCCCAGUUCCAAUCAAGUCGUCUUUCUCAUCAAAGAGCAAAUUAUCUGAUCUGCCAGCAGAACCAGUAGUAGGAAGUAGCCCAAACUCAACCAAAGUGCCUCCUCCGUUAUUCAACAAAGUGGUCAUUGUGCUGAUAGAUGCUUUAAGAGAUGACUUUGUCUUUGGGCCCAGUGGAAAGAGGUUCAUGCCCUACACCAGGAACCUAGUGGAGAGUGGAUCAUCUCAUAGCUUCAUUGCAAAAGCCAGAGCUCCUACUGUCACCAUGCCGAGAAUCAAGGCUCUGACCACGGGCAGCAUUCCUGGUUUCAUCGAUGUUGUCAUGAACCUAAACUCCCAGGCUCUCUUAGAGGACAACCUUCUCUGGCAGGCCAAGAGCACUGGUAAAAAGAUCAUCUUCUACGGUGAUGACACAUGGGUGCGGCUCUUCCCUAAGCACUUCUUGGAGUAUGAUGGAACCACGUCUUUCUUCGUCUCUGACUACACUGAGGUGGACAACAAUGUGACACGUCAUUUGGACAGCACUUUGAAGAGAGAUGACUGGGAUGUGUUGAUCCUGCAUUAUCUGGGACUGGACCACAUUGGACACAUCAGCGGGCCACACAGCUCACUAAUCGGGCCCAAACUCCUUGAGAUGGAUGACGUCAUCAAAAAAAUACACACCUCCAUUAUCACAACGCAGGAAUCUGAUGGUAUGCUGCCUAAUUUGCUUGUGCUGUGUGGUGAUCAUGGCAUGUCUGAGAUGGGCAGCCAUGGAGGAUCUUCAGAGCCGGAAGUCAACACUCCACUAGUCCUCAUCAGCCCUGCCUUCCCAAUGAAAGAAGGCAUGGGUGAGCCAGUUGUUGUGGAACAGGUGGAUCUGACCCCAACACUUGCAAUGGCUCUGGCACUUCCCAUCUCACAGAACAGUGUGGGAUGUCUGAUUCCGGCUGUGUUUGAGAAAGCCUCACUCAGGGAGCAGCUUCGAUACUUUCAUAUCAAUGGCCACCAGCUCAGCAACCUGCUUCGGGACAGCAACCCCAGCUUCCAUAAAGAGGACGGAUAUGAGCAGUUUCAGAUGGCAGAGAAAGCUCAUGGGAGCUGGAUGAAGCUAUAUGUAGAGGGAAACACAUCUGUGGUACUGAGCAAUAUGGCAAAAAAAGUGCUAAAGCAGUACCUGGAGGCUCUACAAGCCAUGAGCGCAGCCCUUAGCAAGCAGCUGGGAAAAUACGAUAUGUACUCCAUGAUGGUGGGCAUGAGCCUUAUACUGCAGAUUCUGGUGCUGUUGUUGUUGGCCAUGCCAGAGGCUCUGAGCAGUGCUGCAUGUGUGGACGUUCCCCUGGCAACCACUUUCCUCUCUCUACCCUUCUACCUCCUUGUCCUGCUGGGUUCUUCUGUUCAUGUGUUGGUGUGCACAUCAUCCGAGGCCUCCUGCUACUUCUGCUCUCUGCCCUGGCUCCUGGCCUUUGCCACCAUUAUUUUCUCUUCAGCCCUGUUUUCUUCUCUGGUGGCCGUAGCAGCCAGAUGUCCACUCAAAUUUGAUAACAAGCCUCUCAAGACCUCUUCCUCAGAGUGGACGCUGUCUGAACUGGAUAUCCUGCUCCUGAUUGGCACACUCGGCUACAGUCUCAGCUUGGCCUCAAGUAGCUUUGUAGAAGAGGAACACCAGACAUGGUACUUCCUGCUCAACACACUUUGCCUGGCUGUCUUCCAGGAUGUCUGCAGGAAGUAUUUUAGGGAAAAGAGAUGCCCAGGUGAAGAAAAGGAGGAAAGUCUUCUCCUGCCUUCGACCAUGGAUGAAAAAGGAGCAUCUUUCUCUCCAGUGGCUGAGCUGGGGGUCAGUGCAGACUCUGAGAAGUGGUUAGCCCUAGCCACACCAGUCCUCACUCUGACAUGCUGUCGAAUGCUCAGGUCUCUAAACCAGACUGGGGUGCAGUGGGCACAUCUGCCUGACCUGAGCCACUGGCUCAACAGUGGAGAUCAUAAGGUGGUUCUGUCUCUACUGUCUGUACUCUCUCUGCUGCUGAUUUUCCUUCUGGUCCAGCGGCACUGUUCACUGGUGUCUAAGAUCGCCUUGGCACUCGGCCUGCUGGGAGUUUACAGCUACCGUGUUGCCGUCGGCAGCAUCCUAUUCCCAUGGCAACACUCAGCCCAAGCCAUGUCCAAGGGAACAGGUGAGGCACACUUCGUCUAUGUUUUCGUCCUCGGGAUCCUCUUCACCGGUGUCAAGGACUUGCUGCGAUCUCAAGUGAUGUCAUCAGUGGUGGACGGCAGACGUUUAAAGAGCAGGGGAUUGUGGGAGAUGUACAGUGGCAUGGUGCUGCUUGUGGCACUGCUGUUCCGGGCUCACAAUCUGCCCACGCUGGCAUGCUGCCUUCUCAUCCAGACCCUCAUGGCUCAGUUCAUCUGGAAGAGACUUCACUAUGAUGCCGCCCAGACCACCAUUAUGCAUUACUGGUUUGGACAGGCCUUCUUCUAUUUCCAGGGGAAUUCCAAUAACAUAGCGACAGUGGAUAUCUCAGUGGGCUUUGUGGGACUGGAGAGCUAUGUGGAGGCUCCUGCUGUCUUCCUCACAGCGUUUAGCACCUAUGCAGGGCCGCUGCUCUGGGCCUGCCAUCUGGUGUGUUACCUCAGUUCAGAGAGAGACAGUGUGGCCUCUCUCAGCCACAGCAGCUACUGUUUUGCCCUGUUGCGCUCCAUCCCUGCUGUGUUCUACAUAGUACUGGUCACUGCACUGCGCUACCAUCUCUUCAUCUGGAGUGUCUUCUCCCCUAAGCUCCUCUAUGAGGCGAUGCACAUGCUGGUCACCACGGCCGUGUGUCUCUUCUUCACCUUCAUGGAUCAGGAUCGUACACGUAGACCAUGAAACACCUGAGCAAGAGCUCUCAGUUCCCUCCAGUCAAUAACUGAGAGUAGAACAGACGCAUAUACGGAGGACAAGAUCUAAUGGAGAGGCUUGUCACAUGAAGACAGGAGAUCACUAUGAUGGAAACAAAGAUGAGGGAUGGGUGAAGGGAGAUUUCUGACGUCAUGCCAUUGUGACAGAAUGGAGUAGCAGAGAGGUUGAUUUUCUAAUCGACUGCCCUGCCAAAUGGGCUGCGCACUCCAAGGAAUUGGGAAGCAGAACACAUACACACACUGUAAGUGACUUUAGUUCCCCAUAUGACUUGUAGUACUAAGUCAGUUUAGACAGUAAUGAGUUUAGGGGCUCAGUACAAACGCCUCUGAUUUUCUACACAGCUACAGGGUGUGAAAUGGAUGAAGCUCUUGGGGUUGUUUUGUGUGUUCUGGAAAAGCUAAUGAAAUUUUAUAUAAUUUUUUUUUUGUUUGUUUUUUGUUUUUUUUAAUUAAGACCUGAAUAUGCACUCCCACUGAUCUCACAUUCAGUAACUGACUCCUUGAUUUUGUGUAGGCUGGUCACAGGUAAUUUUCAUUUACAAAGGUGACGAUCUACAAUUUUUGAUUGAUUGAUUGAUUGAUUGAUUGAUUGAUUGAUUGAUUGAUUGAUUGAUUGUAAAUCAGGUUUGGCUAAAACUUGGGCUUUCUACAUAAAAUAUAUAUUGACACUUCAUUUUAUCAUACCACAGGUACACAAAUAUUUAGACAUUGACAAGUUAUUAUUUUAACUGUCUACCACAGUAUAUUGAUGAGGAUUGGUUCCCUUUUGGGUCUGGUUCCUCUCGAGGUUUCUUCCUCGUGCCGUCUGGGGGAGUUUUUCCUUGCCACCAUCGCCACGGGCUUGUUCAUUGGGGAUAGAUUAGGGAUAAAAUUGUCUCAUGUCUUGGGCCAUUCAGAGUCUGUAAAGCUGCUUUGAGACAAUGUCUAUUGUUAAAAGCACUAUACCGGUACAAACAGACUUGACUAUAUUGGAGUUGAAAUAAAAUAAUGAAUAUUUUCAUAAUGAAUAAGAAUUGACAAAGACUGUACAACAUCCAACAUCCUGUCCAAUGAGACAAAGUUCAACUUGUACCAGAAUGAUGGGAAGAGAGGAGUAUGGAAAAGGGAAGGAACUGCUCAUGAUCUGAAGCAUGCUACUUCAUCUUAUGGUGUGGGCAGUUCCACUGACUGCUGCUAGAACUGGUUCCCUUCUAUUUAUUGAUGUGACUGCUGACAAAAAGCAAAAGGAUUAAUUCUGUAGUGUGUAGGGCUAUAUUAUCUGCUCAUAUUCAGCCAAAUGCCCCAAGUAUACUUUGAAAGCAAAUCAUGACUUAUGUAAGGAAAAGAAGGAGAAUGUUUUGCAAUAGUUUUCAUCUGACCUGAAUCUAAUUGAGCAUGCAUGUCAGAUGCUGAAGGCAAAACACCCAAAUAACAAACAGAAACCACAGACAGUUGAAGCAAAGGCCUGGCAGAGCACUACUCAAGAAGAAAUUCAGCAUAUGAUGAUGUCUGUAGGUUCCAGACUUCAAGCAAGCAUUAACUGCAAAGAAUUUGCAACCAUUUAUUAAAAAUUACGAUUUCUUUUCUGAGUGUUAGUUUGUCCAGUUACUUUUGGUUUCUUAAAUUGUGGCAAACCACAUAUUAAAAGUGUUGUAAUUACUACACUGUUCACCAGAUUUGGAAAUAAACACUGUCAAAUUAAAGCUGAAAGUCUGCACUUUGAGGUAGUAUUCAUUAUUUAAUUUCAACCCCAAUAUAUUAGACCAAUAAUAAUAACUUUGUGUGAAUGUGAGUGUGAAUGGUUGUCUGUGUCUAUGUGUCAGCCCUGUGAUGACCUGGCGACUUGUCCAGGGUGUACCCCGCCUUUCGCCCAUAGUCAGUUGGGAUAGGAUCCAGCUUGCCUGCAACCCUGUAGAAGGAUAAAGCGGCUAGAGAUAAUGAGAUGAGAUGAAUAAUAACUUUAUCAGCGUCUAAAUAUUAAUGGACCUGCUUGUAUAUUUCACCAAAAAUGAUGUCGCGCUACAACCCAAAUAAGAAAAAGUUGGUACAGUAUGGAAAAUGCAAAUAACCACAAAAAAGCAGUGAUUUCUAAAUUUACUUCGACUUGUAUUUCAUUGCAGACAGUAUGAACCCAAGAUAUUUCAUGGUUUAUCUGGUCAACUUGAUUUCAUUUGUUAAUAUCCAUCCAUUCCUGCAUUUCAGGACCCCAACAUAUUCUAAAAAAAAGUUGGGAUGGGGCAAUAUAGGGCUAGAAAUGAGGUAAAACAAUUAAAUAAGGAUGUGAUUUGAAACAGGUGAUGUCAACAGGUGAUUGUAAUCAUGAUUUGGUACAAAAUCAGUAUCCAGAAAAGGCCUAGUCUUUGAGGAGCAAAGAUGGGCAGAAGAUCUUCAGUUUGUUCCUCAAAGAAAGAUAACAAGGGAUUUGGAUAUUUCAGCCUCUACAGCGCAUAAUAUCAUUAAAUGAUUUAAAGAAUCUGCAGAAAUUUUGGUAUGUAAAGGGCAAGGGCACAAGCCUAAGCUGAACACCUGUGAUGUCUGAUCCCUCAGAUGGCACUGCAUCCAGAAACAUCAUUCAUUUAUAACGGAUAUCACCACAUGGGCUCAGGAUUACUUUGUCAAACCUUUGUCAAGCACGACAGUACAGAGUUACAUCCACAAAUGCCAGUUAAAAUGCUACUGUGCAAAAAGGAAGCCUUCUGUUAACUGUUUCCAGAAUCGCCAUCAACUACUCUGGGCUCAGAGGCAUCUGGGAUGGACCAUCACACAGUGGAAACAUGUAUUGUGGUCAGGUUAAUCAGUAUUCCAGUUUUGUUUUUUUGUAAGAAAUGGAUGCCCUGUGCUCUGGACCAAAGAUAAAAAGACCAUUCAGUGUGUUCCCAGCAACAAGUCCAAAAGCUAGGGUCUGUCAUGGUAUGGGGUUGUGUCAGUGCCAAUGGCAAAGGUAACUUACAUUUCUGUGAUGGCAGCAUUAAUGCAGAAAAUGUUCAGAUUUUGGAGCAACAUAUGCUGCCUUCAAGAUGACUUUUUUUUUCCCCAGGGAUAUUUCAGCAAGACAAUGCAAAACCACACUCUGUACACAUUAGAAAGGCAUAGCUGUGGAAGGAGAGGAUGCCUGUUCCCUCUGUCCCCAAUAGAGAAUGUGUGGUGAAUUUUGAAAUGAAAAAUAUGGCAAUGACGACCCCGUACUGUUGUACACCUUAAGAUCUAUUUGCAGAGAGAAUGGGACAAAAUAACUCAUGAAACACCAUCACUUGGAGUCUUCAGUCCUUAAACAUCUGUUGUUUUGUCAGAAGAAAUGGCAACAAUACAAAGUGGUAAAAGUUUUACUGUCCCAACGUUUUUUGGAAAUGUGUUGCAAGAAUCAAAAUUCUAAUAAGUGUUUAUUUUGGAAAAAAAACAACAACAAAAUACAUGAGGUAAACAUCAAAUAAUGCACUAUUGUAUUGUUUUGAGUGUAAUACGGGUCAAAAUUUAUUUACAAAUUAUUGUUUUAAAUUUUUAUUUCAAUUUCAUCAUACAGUCCCAACUGUCUGAUUUGGGGUUAUAGAUUUUUAUUUACUUUGUAACUUUGCCCUGCCUAAAGAUGACUAAAGCCUUAUGCUAGCUGAGUAUGAUUUCCUCACACAGUUUAUGUCAUGGUUUUGGCCAAGUUAUGUGCUGUAGCACAAGUGACACGUAUAAUCAGUUCAGUUUGUAUUCGGAAAGAGUUUUGCUGUCAAAAUGUCAGAAGAGCACUGCAGUUGGAGUAGAAUCUUUAAAUGUAAUCAACUUUUUUUUUUAACUUUUUGAGGUAACCAUGUAAAUCGAGUGAAAGGAUGUUUCUGAUGACUUAGGGUGAUGUUAAUGGGGUGAAGUUAAUUUUGUAACAAUUGUAUAAAAUAAGCUUGUUUAUAAGUAGGUAUAAUCCAAACAUUUCUGCAGACUGCAGUUAAAUAUCAGUUCAACCAAUGCAUGGUUUAUUAUUUAUGCUGGUAGCAUGGAGCCCUCACCUCCACCUAGGAUAUGCUAUGCUGGGAUAUUUGUGGAGAAAUUCCUUUUUUUCUUUCUGCCUGCUAUGAUUUUCUUCUUAUUAUUAUUUUUUGUAAUGUUGCCACCUCUGAAUUUAUGCUUUGCUAAUAAAGGGGAUCCAAUUUU
Neoarius graeffei (lesser salmon catfish) is the source of this 7390-nucleotide RNA transcript. It is a transcript of the gene named phosphatidylinositol glycan anchor biosynthesis class G, with no coding region annotated. Lineage: Eukaryota; Metazoa; Chordata; Actinopteri; Siluriformes; Ariidae. The record is from RefSeq and is a predicted model, not a curated record. The transcript is spliced from 14 exons.